AGGGUUUGAUCAUGGCUCAGAACGUACGCUGGCGGCACGCCUAAUACAUGCAAGUCGAACGAAGUAGCAAUACUUAGUGGCAGACGGGUGAGUAAUAUGUAGGUAUCUUCCCAUUGGUGAGGAAUAACACGAGGAAACUUGUGCUAAUACCUCAUAAGUCUUUACGGAGAAAGCUUUAUGCGCCGAUGGAUGAGCCUGCACUUGAUUAGUUUGUUGGUAGGGUAAUGGCCUACCAAGACAAUGAUCAAUAGCUGAUUUGAGAGGAUGAUCAGCCACAUUGGGACUGAGACACGGCCCAAACUCCUACGGGAGGCAGCAGUAGGGAAUCUUGCACAAUGGGGGAAACCCUGAUGCAGCGAUGCCGCGUGAGUGAAGAAGGCCUUUGGGUUGUAAAGCUCUUUCGUCGGGGAAGAAAAUGACUGUACCCGAAUAAGAAGGUCCGGCUAACUUCGUGCCAGCAGCCGCGGUAAUACGAAGGGACCUAGCGUAGUUCGGAAUUACUGGGCUUAAAGAGUUCGUAGGUGGUUAAAAAAGUUGGUGGUGAAAUCCCAGAGCUUAACUCUGGAACUGCCAUCAAAACUUUUUAGCUAGAGUAUGAUAGAGGAAAGCAGAAUUUCUAGUGUAGAGGUGAAAUUCGUAGAUAUUAGAAAGAAUACCAAUUGCGAAGGCAGCUUUCUGGAUCAUUACUGACACUGAGGAACGAAAGCAUGGGUAGCGAAGAGGAUUAGAUACCCUCGUAGUCCAUGCCGUAAACGAUGUGUGUUAGACGUUGGAAAUUUAUUUUCUGUGUCGCAGCGAAAGCAAUAAACACACCGCCUGGGGAGUACGACCGCAAGGUUAAAACUCAAAUGAAUUGACGGGGACCCGCACAAGUAGUGGAGCAUGUGGUUUAAUUCGAAGAUACGCGCAGAACCUUACCAACACUUGACAUGUUCGUCGCGACUUUAAGAGAUUAAAGUUUUCGGUUCGGCCGGACGAAACACAGGUGCUGCAUGGCUGUCGUCAGCUCGUGUCGUGAGAUGUUGGGUUAAGUCCCGCAACGAGCGCAACCCUCACUUUUAGUUGCCAUCAUUUAGUUGGGCACUCUGAAAGAACUGCCAGUGAUAAGCUGGAGGAAGGUGGGGAUGACGUCAAGUCCUCAUGGCCCUUACGUGUUGGGCUACACACGUGCUACAAUGGCAUUUACAAUAGGAAGCAAGACGGCGACGUUUAGCAAAUCCUAAAAAAAUGCCUCAGUUCGGAUUGUACUCUGCAACUCGAGUACAUGAAGCUGGAAUUACUAGUAAUCGCGGAUCAGCGCGCCGCGGUGAAUACGUUCCCCGGGUCUUGU
RNAcentral lists this ribosomal RNA (1330 nucleotides) under uncultured bacterium. Its description in RNAcentral is "bacterial SSU rRNA". It matches the Rfam family "Bacterial small subunit ribosomal RNA", at positions 8 to 1384 of the family's 1533-position model. The record is from RNAcentral.